CCUACGGGUGGCUGCAGUGAGGAAUAUUGGUCAAUGGACGAGAGUCUGAACCAGCCAAGUAGCGUGAAGGAUGACUGCCCUAUGGGUUGUAAACUUCUUUUAUAUGGGAAUAAAAUGUUCCACGUGUGGGAUUUUGUAUGUACCAUAUGAAUAAGGAUCGGCUAACUCCGUGCCAGCAGCCGCGGUAAUACGGAGGAUCCGAGCGUUAUCCGGCUUUAUUGGGUUUAAAGGGAGCGUAGGUGGAUUGUUAAGUCAGUUGUGAAAGUUUGCGGCUCAACCGUAAAAUUGCAGUUGAAACUGGCAGUCUUGAGUACAGUAGAGGUGUGCGGAAUUCGUGGUGUAGCGGUGAAAUGCUUAGAUAUCACGAAGAACUCCGAGUGCGAAGGCAGUUCACUGGACUGCAACUGACGCUGAGGCACGAAAGUGUGGGUAUCAAACAGGAUUAGAUACCCGAGUAGUC
This 460-nucleotide ribosomal RNA is filed under the name uncultured bacterium. Its description in RNAcentral is "partial 16S ribosomal RNA". It matches the Rfam family "Bacterial small subunit ribosomal RNA", at positions 338 to 795 of the family's 1533-position model. The record is from RNAcentral.